This is a non-coding RNA of Pangasius djambal, 72 nucleotides long. The record is from the annotation of a GenBank genome assembly. NCBI's taxonomy places the organism in Eukaryota, Metazoa, Chordata, Actinopteri, Siluriformes, Pangasiidae.
UUCCUGGAAGACUAGUGGUUAGGCCUCUGCACUCUCGCUGCUGUGGACAGCGUUCGAUUCCAGGCCAGGGAA